CGGAAACCUGCCGGUCCGAUAAACCGGAGGAAGGUGGGGAGUGACGUCAAGUCAGCAUGGCCUUUAUAUCCUGGGCUACACACACGCUACAAUGGGAAGGGACAAUAGGUUGCGAAGCCGCGAGGCGGAGCCAAUCCAGCAAAACUUCCCUCAGUUCAGAUUGCAGGCUGCAACCCGCCUGCAUGAAGUUGGAGUUGCUAGUAAACGCAGGUCAGCCAUACUGCGUUGAAUACGUUCCCGGGGCUU
RNAcentral lists this ribosomal RNA (246 nucleotides) under uncultured Anaerolineaceae bacterium. RNAcentral describes it as "partial 16S ribosomal RNA". It matches the Rfam family "Bacterial small subunit ribosomal RNA", at positions 1142 to 1382 of the family's 1533-position model. Lineage: Bacteria; Bacillati; Chloroflexota; Anaerolineae; Anaerolineales; Anaerolineaceae. The record is from RNAcentral.